UUAANACAUGCAANUCGAACGAUGAACCCNGUUUCGGUGGUGGAUUAGUGGCGAACGGUGAGUAANANGUGGGCAAUUUGCCCUUCAUUUUGGACAAGCCCUGGAAACGGGUUUAAUACCGGAUAACAUUUUNUCCCGCAUGGGANGGGGUUGAAAGNUCCGGCGGUGAAGGAUGAGCCCGCGGCCUAUNAGCUUGUUGGUGGGGUAAUGGCCUACCCAAGGGAGACGGGUAGCCGGCCUGAGAGGGCGACCGGCCACACUGGGAAUGAGANACGGCCCAGAAUCCUACGGGAGGCAGCAGUGGGGAAUAUUGCACAAUGGGCGAAAGCCUGAUGCAGCGANGCCGCGUGAGGGAUGACGGCCUUNGGGUUGUAAACCUUUUUNAGCAGGGAAGAAGCGAAAGUGACGGUACCUGCAGAAGAAGCGCCGGCUAAAUAAGUGCCAGCAGCCGCGGUAAUAAGUAGGGCGCAAGCGUUGUCCGGAAUUAUUGGGCGUAAAGAGCUUGUAGGCGGCUUGUCANGUNGGAUGUGAAAGCCCGGGGNUUAACCCCGGGUUUGCAUUUGAUACGGGCUAGNUAGAGUGUGGUAGGGGAGAUNGGAAUUCCUGGUGUAGCGGUGAAAUGCGCAGAUAUCAGGAGGAACACCGGUGGCGAAGGCGGAUCUCUGGGCCAUUACUGACGCUGAGGAGCGAAAGCGUGGGGAGCGAACAGGAUUAGAUACCCUGGUAGUCCACGCCGUAAACGUUGGGAACUAGGUGUUGGCGACAUUCCACGUCGUCGGUGCCGCAGCUAACGCAUUAAGUUCCCCGNCUGGGGAGUACGGCCGCAAGGCUAANACUCAAAGGAAUUGACGGGGGCCCGNACAAGCAGCGGANCAUGUGGCUUAAUUCGACGCANCGCGAAGAACCUUACCAAGGCUUGACAUAUACCGGAAAGCAUCAGAGAUGGUGCCCCCCUUGUGGUCGNUAUACANGUGGUGCAUGNCUGUCGUCACCUCGUGUCGUGAGAUGUUGGGUUAAGUCCCGCAACGAGCGCNACCCUUGNUCUGUGUUGNCANCAUGCCCUUCGGGGNUGAUGGGGACUCACAGGANACUGNCCGGGGUCAACUCCGGANGAAGGUGGGUGACGAAGUCAAGGUCAUCAUGNCCCCUUAUGUCUUGGUGCUGCACACGUGC
This 1173-nucleotide ribosomal RNA is filed under the name Streptomyces sp. EN27. Its description in RNAcentral is "partial 16S ribosomal RNA". It matches the Rfam family "Bacterial small subunit ribosomal RNA", at positions 48 to 1225 of the family's 1533-position model. Lineage: Bacteria; Bacillati; Actinomycetota; Actinomycetes; Kitasatosporales; Streptomycetaceae. The record is from RNAcentral.